RNAcentral lists this ribosomal RNA (268 nucleotides) under uncultured anaerobic ammonium-oxidizing bacterium. Its description in RNAcentral is "partial 16S ribosomal RNA". It matches the Rfam family "Bacterial small subunit ribosomal RNA", at positions 567 to 832 of the family's 1533-position model. The record is from RNAcentral.
AGCACGUAGGUGGGUUUGUAAGUCAGAUGUGAAAGCCUUCUGUUCAACGGAAGAAUUGCAUCUGAAACUACAAACCUUGAGUGUAGGAGGGGAGAAUGGAACUUCUGGUGGAGCGGUGAAAUGCGUAGAUAUCAGAAGGAACGCCGGCGGCGAAAGCGAUUCUCUGGCCUAUUACUGACACUCAGUGUGCGAAAGCUAGGGGAGCAAACGGGAUUAGAUACCCCGGUAGUCCUAGCCGUAAACGAUGGGCACUAAGUAGAGGGGUUUU